Molecule: ribosomal RNA, 253 nt
Filed under: uncultured bacterium
Lineage: Bacteria
Description: partial 16S ribosomal RNA
Rfam family: Bacterial small subunit ribosomal RNA
Source: RNAcentral
UACGGGGGGGGCAAGCGUUGCUCGGAAUUACUGGGCGUAAAGGGCUCGUAGGCGGUCAACUAAGUCAGACGUGAAAUCCCUCGGCUUAACCGGGGAACUGCGUCUGAUACUGGAUGGCUUGAGUUCGGGAGAGGGAUGCGGAAUUCCAGGUGUAGCGGUGAAAUGCGUAGAUAUCUGGAGGAACACCGGUGGCGAAGGCGGCAUCCUGGACCGAUACUGACGCUGAGGAGCGAAAGCCAGGGGAGCAAACGGG